CCUCAAACAAAUUUUUUCAACAAAGGGGUAACGGUUUUCAGCAACACACCGAUAAAUCUCAGUUUUUGCAAGGCCCUAACAGUAUAGGUCAGGGUGUAGCUGGAAAACCCUCAGUUACAGANNNNNNGAUAUUGGGCAGCAGCCUCAGCAGCAGCAGCAGCAACAGCAACAACAACAACAACAAGGGCAACAGUUGCAACAGCAAGCCCCUCAGGCCCAGGCACAAAAUCUUCCUAAUGGUCAGCCAGUUCAGGCAAACAGAACUGCAACAUCUUUGCCUCAAGGAAUAUCUAGGUGUGUU
Molecule: unclassified non-coding RNA, 301 nt
Filed under: Hevea brasiliensis (rubber tree)
Lineage: Eukaryota; Viridiplantae; Streptophyta; Magnoliopsida; Malpighiales; Euphorbiaceae
Source: RNAcentral